This 380-nucleotide ribosomal RNA is filed under the name uncultured eukaryote. RNAcentral's name for it is "partial 18S ribosomal RNA". It matches the Rfam family "Eukaryotic small subunit ribosomal RNA", at positions 592 to 976 of the family's 1831-position model. The record is from RNAcentral.
CAAUAGCAUAUAUUAAAGUUGUUGCGGUUAAAAAGCUCGUAGUUGGAGUUCUGCCAGGUGCCGCCUGUCCGCCCCAGUGGUGAGUACGUGGCGCGCAUUUGGCCCUUUCAAGGGGAGCGUAUCUGCACUUUAUUGUGUGGUGCGGGAUCCUUGACUUUUACUUUGAGGAAAUAGGAGUGUUCCAAGCAGGCUCUCGUCGUGCACAGCUCAGCAUGGAAUAAUAGCAUUGGACCUCGAUUCUAAGCUGUUGGUUGCCAGAAGCGAGGUAAUGAUGAAGAGGGAUAGUUGGGGGCAUUCGUAUUUAACUGUCAGGGGUGAAAUUCUUGGAUUUGUUAAAGACGGACUACUGCGAAAGCAUCUGCCAUGGAUGUUUUCAUUGA